This 77-nucleotide transfer RNA is filed under the name Gammaproteobacteria bacterium. RNAcentral describes it as "tRNA-Pro". It matches the Rfam family "tRNA". From Rfam's summary of the family: Transfer RNA (tRNA) molecules are approximately 80 nucleotides in length. Lineage: Bacteria; Pseudomonadati; Pseudomonadota; Gammaproteobacteria. RNAcentral also lists the same sequence under 2 other names. The record is from RNAcentral.
CGGAGAGUAGCUCAGCUUGGUAGAGCACCUGCUUUGGGAGCAGGGGGUCGCAGGUUCGAUUCCUGUCUCUCCGACCA